This 508-nucleotide ribosomal RNA is filed under the name uncultured bacterium. RNAcentral's name for it is "partial 16S ribosomal RNA". It matches the Rfam family "Bacterial small subunit ribosomal RNA", at positions 28 to 523 of the family's 1533-position model. The record is from RNAcentral.
GAUGAACGCUAGCUACAGGCUUAACACAUGCAAGUCGAGGGGCAGCGGUAUCGAAAGCUUGCUUUCGGUAGCCGGCGACCGGCGCACGGGUGAGUAACGCGUAUCGAACCUGCCUCAUACUCGGGAAUAGCCUUGCGAAAGUAAGAUUAAUGCCCGGUGUUUUCAGAGUCCCGCAUGAGGCUUUGAACAAAGAUUUAUCGGUAUGAGAUGGCGAUGCGUCCCAUUAGCUUGUUGGCGGGGUAACGGCCCACCAAGGCAUCGAUGGGUAGGGGUUCUGAGAGGAAGGGCCCCCACAUUGGACCUGGGACAAGGUCCAAACUCCUACGGGAGGCAGCAGUGAGGAAUAUUGGUCAAUGGGCGGAAGCCUGAACCAGCCAAGUAGCGUGCAGGAAGACGGCCCUCCGGGUUGUAAACUGCUUUUAGUUGGGAAUAAAACGGGGCUCGUGAGCCCCCUUGCAUGUACCAUCAGAAAAAGGACCGGCUAAUUCCGUGCCAGCCGCCGCCGUAA